ACCACUUAUCUUUUUAAUUACAAAUUAGAAAUGCAGAUGCAGUUGACCAAUGUUUAGCAUCCUAACAAUGUUCAGGUUGCACAUGCAUACCAGAACACUGAGGGGUGGUCUUACAAAUGACAACUACUUUCAUGUUAGUAAUUUCUUCUGUUUGAGAUAUUCCACGACCCUGCUUUGCUAGCUCCAGUCAUUCAAUUUAUCAUUAUAUCCACCAUAUUUUUAUGCUCUGCAUUCCUAAUCUGCCGGUCACAAGAAACUGUAGUAUAAUGUUAGGUCGCACAUUCUUUUUGUUUCAUGGUUCAGUAGAGGUCUCACGGUGAGCAGCAACACUAGGUUGCAGUAUAAUGUCAGCUAAUUGCAACAUCCUGAGUUAUUUUAUCAAAGUUUUUCAUCUGGAAGCUCGAAUAUCUUUUGACUUUCAGUACACAUCUAUUCCGAUUUGGUAGAGAAGAUCAGAAGAAGCUUUUAUAUCAUAUUUUUGUGUGCUUUUUCUGUAGAAAAAUUACCAUGGGUUGAUGGUUUUGAAUCCAAUUACUAUAUGAUGUAAUUGACUGCUAUUCCUAAGAAUUGCUCCUGGACACAGUGCUCAAUCUUAUCAUGUCUCACAUACUAUUGUGCUGCCUAUCUGUAUAGUUACUCGGAUCAUUUCUACAGAUGAAAAUGUUCAUACAGAAGAAAAUUUUCAUCUGUGCUCCUGGACAUUUUUGCAAGCUUUGCUCUCCAAGUGCAGAACAAUUUCUAUCUGAACACCCAUCAUUAGUGCGACAGGUCAAGGCUUAUCUUGUGGUGUGUCGGCAGCGCGACUGUACGCCACUGUUACUAGGUUGUUUCAUUUCUACAGCAACACAGGCAAUGCUUAUGUAUUGCACAUAUUUUUAUUUCUUUUGAUUUUGCCUUGGUUGUUAUUUAUGCCUAUAGCCUCAUGUAUGGGAUCCUAUUUCAGGGCACCGUUUUCAAUGGUUAGUUGAGGUGCUUCUGGUUUUCUGAAUGAGUACAUAGGUAAUGUUGAAGAUGCUCUGUCCUUAUUUUUUAGAUGUUUACUUUGGUUAUUGUUCUCAUUUUGGUGCUCCUUGGCCUCUUUCUGUCAGUGCAGAUCUUCUUUUUAAAUAGCACGGAUAGAGGACCAGAAAAGAGAUACUUUUCUUGUUGGUGCACUUGCAAGUAUAUGCGGAUCUGUACCUUAGAUUUCCUUGCCUUUGGCUGGCUGUCCUUUUCUUUUGCUAGGCCAUCAAAUUGCUUUCAACUCGAGCGGGAUUUGUUGCAACCUCCUAUUUGUGACGUGGUGCCGCCAAAGGUAUCUUUCUCUCUGUCCUGAUUCUAAUUCUCUGCCAUCUCCAUCUACAUAUGCCUGUGAUUGCCUACUCUGUUUCUAUCCAAACAACAUAUGUGUGUAUGCUGGUGAAGUGAGAGAAAAUAAGCGGGAGAUAAAGAGUGAGAGACAAAACACUAGGGAGAAAGAUAGCUAGACAUCAAAUGUUGCAGUAUAUAGGCUGUUAAAAUCGAUUGUUACUCUCCUGUUAAUUAAAUGUCCAUGUGCUGAUUUAUGUUCUAUGCUUUAUAUGCAUCACAUUAUAUCCUACGACGUUUACCUUUUCCUGUUCAUGGAAAAUGUCAUAGUUGGGAGGGUUAACUGGAAAGCUUGAGUAUAUCUAUCAAUCUGAUCUGCAUAGAAUAACUACACAGGACAGAAUGUGCUCACAUGAUAUUGAUGCAUAAAUUUUAUAAUUAAACAUAGGUUCAGAUUAUCUAGAGACCCAGAGUUUAGUAACUCAAGCGCAUAAGACUGAAUGCUAUAUCCAUGGCAGGCAGUAUCUUCUAUGCACGUUGGUAUGUACAUGAGAUGGGGGAAAUCAUGUUUUUAAGAGAGUGAGAUGUGGAAGGUACUGUUUAAGAAAUCCGGAUGCUUGCUUGUAAUAUGUUUACAUUGUUUACUCAUGUACAUGUUCCUUUUGUAGAUGUUCCUUUAGGAUUUCUAAAAUUGUUUGUUUACUCAUGUACAUUGUUUGCAUCUGUGAAUAUAUUUUUAUAUUUAGGGAUUAUCCACUGCCUCUAGAAAGUUGUUUGUUUCAUCCAACGCUUUUGUGUGGUUUUGCAACUACUAAUUCCUGUUAUCUCUAUGUUUGUUGGUGUAUGGCUGCUGCUUUUGCCUUCAUGGGAAAUGAUUAGGCAGGCUGACUACAUAGUAAUUGUUAGUACUCUUUGAUGAUAGAGAAGUGAAGAUCUUGUUGUUACUGCAAACUCAGGCUAUGUUGUUGACAAUGACAUCAGGGGACAUGUAUAUUGAACAUGUGUUGAUCCACUAAUGGCAAAUCAGCUACCAGCUGGCUAUCAAGACUUUGCUUAGGUGUUAUUAGCCGCUACAUCCUCCGCUUCAUUGAGCCUCGACCCCCCACUCUUCUGAGGUUUCGUCAGGUGAUUGCCUGCUUCAAUUCUACAUUCUGGACAAAGCUUGUAGGGUUAGCGACCUUGGUUGGGUGAUUUUGACGAUAUGAUGCAUUUCUUAGGAAAUAGCUCGAGAAGUGAUGUGUGAUGUUGCCUGCAAAUUGGCUUGUUUUGCUUAGAGCUUUUGGCAUAUGUGGUGAUUUAUUACCGGUGGUUAGAAUUUAGAAGCCUGCUGCUAGCCUCAUGCUUGCUGUCAUCAUAUACACAUAGUAUAGAUGAAGUUGGAUGAUAAUUCUCUCGUAUCACUAUGUGGGGCCUGAGCCUCAUACUAAUCUCGCACGGUCAAGUUUAUUGCUGCAAUUUGAUGUUACGAUUUAUGCUAAUGUAAACAUGACCAAGCUAGAGGAGAGCUUUGGUUUUUUUUCGUAUUUGUUCUGAUAGCAUAAUGUCUCCUAGGUUCGAUAAUGUCUUCUCUCCAAUCUUGUUCCCUUCCCAGCUUCCACCUAUCUUCAUGAGCAAGUGUAGCUCCAUCCAUGACAAAGGUAUAGAUCAGAGAGGUCUGAGGAGGGACAGGGUUGGAAGCUAGGAAGGGAAGUAAACUUCCUGAGCUUCAGUUCUAGGUGAAAAGAGAGUGUUUUUUAUUUUGUAUUUACUUAUUUUUUUCUCCGACCAGAGAAUUGUUUUGUUGGACUACGACUGGAUUGAAGUUGCUAGCCUGAAUGCAAAUUUCCUUGAGAUGGUUCAUCACCAAAAUCCUUAAGAGAUGUUCGAAGGUGGGUCAGUGAGUGGUGAUGAUGUUCAUGAGAAUUCCCACACAUUGGUAAUUUUUAUAUGGAGGUGCAGAGUGCCACGAUCUCAAAUCUAGAGCAAUCUUGUGUCAGUGUUCACGUAUUGUGAUUAUCUAUGUGGCAUUGGGAUAGUAAGUUCCCCCGUCCAUACAAGGGCGCUAUUUACAAUAUGAGGGAACUUAUGAUUUAUAGGAGCUACAACUUAUGAUUUAUAAUGCUGCUAUUCCAUGGUUAUAUAUAAAAUAAAACAAAUUAAGUUUUUCCUUUAGGUUUUCAUCACAGUUCCUUUUCAUGAUUCUGUAGCACUGGAAUGAUUAGUUUGUUCUUCAGUAACUUCUUCUUCAGUAUCAUAGUUAGUAAACAUAUGAGGUUUGGCAAGUUAGUAUUUACCAUUGAUGCUUGAAAUAAAUAGCAUGACUGGUGUUGCACCAUGUGUGUGUGUAGGUUUUUCCUUUUAGUUUACUUAUAUAUGCCUCUCCUAUAUUCUAAAACAAAUUCGAACUGUUAGUAUUUACCUUAAUCUCUUCCACAUGGAAGAUAGGAAAACUACAUACGGAAGGAUGAGUUCUAUAGCGUAUCAUAUUCAGGCAUUUGCACUAUUUUCUUGAUUACCUCACUAUGAUUAUUGUUGUAGACUUUUAGUAUAUUCCUCACAGGCGAAUCCGUAUUUUCUUCAAAUCUAUAGCACACAUCUUUUUGCUAUAGUCAUUUCGCCAUGGAUGCAACAGUCUAGGAAAACAAGAUACCUGUUUGUUUUCAUUCAUUUGCCUUUUUAUGUGAGAAGUGCCUCCAUGGGAUUAGCGAGGUGUAUUUAUGCUUACCCCUUUUUAGUGUUUGGUGAAGCCGAUGGACUGUGAACAUUAUGUACCACAUAUUGUGGCCUUUUUCCUUUUUAUUACUUAUAAUAUGUCAUGACAAUUUAUUUUCCUGAGCCAUUUAGUCAACUAGCCAGUCAAGGAUAGCCAAUGGUCUUUUGGCUAUUUGUUUGUUCAUUUCAUUCAACAUGCAUGUUUCUGGAGUAGUCUUGGCGCAAGACACAUAAUCAAAGUUGAUUUUCUUAUAAGCUGAUCAUCACAUAGCUAAUUGGUAGUUACACUAGCUGAGCUUGUCCUAUGCUCAUUGUACAGGAUAGAUAAAGUGUAUGUGAUCUUCUUGAUGAGGAGAAGUCUUUUUAGAGAUUCCAAUACAAAUUACAUACGGAUGUAUAUAGACAUAUUUUAGAAUGUAGAUUCACUCAUUUUGUUCUAUAUGUAGUCCGCAUUGAAAUCUCUAAAAGGACUUAUAUUUAGGAACGGUGGGAGUUGGAUACAAUUAAGUAUUUAAAUUAACCAUAUGAGCACUAUUUCUUUGAGUGCCACAAGGAUGUCAUCUUUAUUCACAUGUUAUGUGUUAUGUGUUCACAUCAACUUCUGCCCUUUGUUUUCUGCAGAACACGACAACUGUUCGUCACCUAAAAGGACAGGAUGACACCAAAGGAGUUAUGAUAGCAGCACUUAUAGGCAUUGAGGAAUUGGCAAAGAGAUUACGCUUCAUAGGUAUGAAGUUAGAACAACGGCUGGAACUAUGAAAGGCCGUUUCUAAUUACCUUUGUUGGAUCUGUCUUACCUACAAUGCAUGUGUGACCCUUGGAGAAGCCACUUUUUGUUUCGUCUGCAGUAUACUCCAUGUUUAGUUCCAAUGAUGCCCUAACCCUUUUGUUCCUGCUCUGAAGAAUAGGACAUGUAUAGGCUUCAGAUUUUUGUAAUCAUCUAUGUGCUAAACAUCCCUUUGUGGUCAUGUGUUCUUUAUGUAAUCAAGUAUCUAUUCAUGAUGAUAUAUAUGCCCAGCUAAUGUUUGAAAAGAUCCAUCAUCUGUAUCACCACUGCUGGAUAACCACUAUAAAUCUACUAGCAGUACCGGUCAUAUAAAAUAGCUACCGUUACCGAUCAUUUGUAUUACCACUGCUGGAUAACCAUUAUAAAUAUAUCAGCUAAUGUUUCUUUAAUUUAUUUGAUUUAACUUUUUAUUUUUUGAUUUGACAUCUUUUUUAGACAGAAUAAUUUAAUUUAGUUGUUCCAAUUCAAAUUUACACCAUGUUGUUGGGCUUAGAAAAAAGGUAAAUAAUAAAUUAAGUUUUGUUGUGUCGACAUGGGCACCAGACACGGUUGCUGAUGCCUUGACCUUAUCAAUCCCCUUCUUCCCUCCGUGUACCAAACCUUCUCUCGCUCACCCUGUCUCUUCCAGACCAUCGUCGUUGUUCCUCAACUUCGAUUGCAAUAUCAACACGUCAGUUCCUCAGGUGGAUCCUCACUGAAUCAGACCGCUUAACAGGCGAACCUUUACCAACAUGGUAUUAUUUCAAUUUUGAGUUAGUGUUGUUCCUUAGAGACAUGGUCAAAGAUUGAGA
This 5556-nucleotide long non-coding RNA is filed under the name Triticum aestivum (bread wheat). Its description in RNAcentral is "long non-coding RNA (TAES_LNC018360)". The record is from RNAcentral. Lineage: Eukaryota; Viridiplantae; Streptophyta; Magnoliopsida; Poales; Poaceae.